GAUGAACGCUGGCGGCGUGCUUAACACAUGCAAGUCGAACGGGAUCCAUCAGGCUUUGCUUGGUGGUGAGAGUGGCGAACGGGUGAGUAAUGCGUGACCGACCUGCCCCAUACACCGGAAUAGCUCCUGGAAACGGGUGGUAAUGCCGGAUGCUCCAGUUGAUCGCAUGGUCUUCUGGGAAAGCUUUCGCGGUAUGGGAUGGGGUCGCGUCCUAUCAGCUUGACGGCGGGGUAACGGCCCACCGUGGCUUCGACGGGUAGCCGGCCUGAGAGGGCGACCGGCCACAUUGGGACUGAGAUACGGCCCAGACUCCUACGGGAGGCAGCAGUGGGGAAUAUUGCACAAUGGGCGCAAGCCUGAUGCAGCGACGCCGCGUGAGGGAUGGAGGCCUUCGGGUUGUAAACCUCUUUUAUCGGGGAGCAAGCGA
RNAcentral lists this ribosomal RNA (427 nucleotides) under uncultured bacterium. RNAcentral describes it as "bacterial SSU rRNA". It matches the Rfam family "Bacterial small subunit ribosomal RNA", at positions 28 to 453 of the family's 1533-position model. The record is from RNAcentral.